This 540-nucleotide small RNA is filed under the name Pongo abelii (Sumatran orangutan). Its description in RNAcentral is "retained intron". Lineage: Eukaryota; Metazoa; Chordata; Mammalia; Primates; Hominidae. The record is from RNAcentral.
UGUUGUGUCACCUCCUAACCUCAGAUGCCAGCUCACCAGAUGAGUUUCACAGUGACCUAAGCCACAUCCUUGGGAUACCUCAGAGCUGGCGGCUGUACCUGGUGAACCUGUGCCAAAGGUGCAUGGACACAAGUAUGUACAACUGGCUGGGAGCCCUGCCUGUCCUGCACUGCUGUAUGGAGCUGGCCCCGCGGCACAAGGACGCCUGGAGCCAGCCUGAGGACACCUGGGCCGCUUUGGAGGGAAUCUCCUUCUCACAGUUCCGGGAACAAAUGCUAGAUACGUAAGUCGUAGAGUUGUGCUUAUCUACAUGAAUCUGGGAAGAAUGACUCCUACACUGUGCACCCGGAGUCCCGGUGGGCUCUGCAGUGACUCCAUUCCUGAUUCUAAUGACAGAACUAACACACGCUCUUUUAACAUUUUAAGACAUCAAAACUAUCAAGAAUAGUCUGGGCACAGUGGCUCAGGCCUGUAAUCCCAGCACUUUGGGAGGCUGAGACGGGUGGAUCACCUGAGGUCAGGAGUUCGAGACCAGCCUGG